This 62-nucleotide ribosomal RNA is filed under the name uncultured bacterium. RNAcentral's name for it is "partial 16S ribosomal RNA". The record is from RNAcentral.
UGGUCUUGACAUACUACUGAUCGUCACAGAGAUGUGAUUUUUUCUUCGGAGACAGUAGAUAC